Humulus lupulus (European hop) is the source of this 6874-nucleotide long non-coding RNA. RefSeq lists it as uncharacterized. The transcript has 2 exons. The record is from RefSeq and is a predicted model, not a curated record. NCBI's taxonomy places the organism in Eukaryota, Viridiplantae, Streptophyta, Magnoliopsida, Rosales, Cannabaceae.
CUACAGUGAUUCACAGCUGGUCGUGAAUCAAGUUCUAGGAAAAUAUCAAGCACGAGGCUUAAAAAUGGUGGCCUACUUAAAUAAAACAAAAGACUUGCUAGCCCAAUUUAUGGAGUACACCCUUCAGCAAAUUCCGCGGGAUCAAAAUUCAAACGCAGAUGCCUUAGCCAAACUCGCGAGCGCGAAGGAUGCUGACACUUUGAACAUUGUGCCGGUAGAAAGACCGAGUAAGCCAAGCAUACAAGCGGUCGAAUCCAGUAUGGAGAUUCAAAUGGAGGAUACAUGGAUGACACCUUAUUUGGAGUAUCUGAUAAACGGUACGCUACCAGCGGAUAGAAACAAAGCCAGAACCCUACAAAGGCGAGCUGCUAGGUACAUACUGGUCGGUGGAGUUAUGUACCGAAGAGGAUAUUCCUUGCCGCUACUCAGAUGCGUUACACCAGAAAAAGCUAAGGAACUCAUGAAAGAGGUGCAUGAAGGCUUCUGUGGGGAUCAUGCUGGGGGGCAGAGUUUGGCAAAGAAGAUUCUAAGGCAAGGCUACUUCUGGCCAACUAUGAACAAGGAUUCAAUGGAGUUUGUACGAAGAUGCGAUAAAUGUCAAAGAUUCUCCAAAAUUCCACGAGCAGCUCCGAACGAAUUAAAACAGAUGCAAAGUCCAUGGCCUUUUGCAGUAUGGGGGAUAGAUUUGAUUGGAUCCCUACCUACGGGGAAGGGCGGAGUAAAGUACGCAGUCGUAGCAGUCGAUUACUUCACCAAAUGGGCCGAAGCUGAACCGCUUGCUACCAUCACGACCAAGAAAGUUCUUGACUUUGUUAUCAAGAACAUUGUCUGUUGAUAUGGCUUGCCUAGAAAGAUAGUUUCAGACAACGGAACCCAAUUUGACAGUGAUUUAUUCACUGAUUUUUGCGAAAGACAUGGAGUCAUUAAAAGCUUUUCUUCAGUUGCACACCCCCAGGCGAAUGGGCAGGUCGAAGCCGUGAAUAAAACUCUUAAAGACACCCUGAAGAAGAGGCUUGAAGAAGCUAAGGGAGCGUGGCCAGAGCAACUGCCUGAAGUCCUCUAGUCGUAUAGAACGUCUCACCGAACAGCGACAGGACAUACCCCAUUUUCCUUAGCCUAUGGAUAUGAGGCAAUGUUGCCUGUCGAAUUAGAUCCCCCCUCACAUCGACGCCUAACAUACGACCAAGACCAGAACAGCCAACUGAUGAUGGAAUCCCUAGACUCGAUUGACGAGAUACGGGAGAAGGCCCAACUCCGAGUUGCUGCAUACCAACAAAAAGUUGCCCGGUACUUUAACUCCAAAGUUAAAGAAAGAAAAUUCAACGUCGGAGACUUGGUACUACGACGAGUUUUCUUAAAUACCCGACCCUACUGCUGGAGUGCUUGGACCUAAUUGGGAAGGACCUUACCAGAUUGAAGAAGUCCUUCAUCCGGGCACCUACAAACUUGCACGCUUAAACGGAGAUCUCGUUCCACGUUAUUGGAAUGGAGAACAUCUGCGCAAGUAUUAUCAAUGAACAAUCCUUUUUGAAGGACUGGCUUGUAUUAAUUUUUCUUUUUACAAGUUCAGCAAAGAGGGUUAGCCACACUGUAUGGCUAAUCGCUCGUAUAUGUAAGUUUCUAUUUCAGAAUCGCUCGUAAAGACAUGUUUAGUCCAUUUUUAUUACGAGAUUAUAAGGGACUGUGCGUAGCCAGUCAUUCUUGCCAACCUUUGUGAAUUUAUAUUUACAAGUAUUUGUUCAUUACGUGUGUUGUUUUGCUGUAUUACAAGUAUUACUUUUUCACCCGAGCAGAAAUGUUCGAACAGUUCAUGGUCAAGGCAAGUGACCAAGGACCUAAAGCUCCUCAAUCACUUGGGGGGCAUAUAAGGCACAUCGAUAGCAAAGCGUACCAUGAGGUAUGUAAACACAUGAACAAAAUGAGUGAAAGCAUGAUAAGGUACUUAGAGUAUUUUUCAAAAUUUAUAUUUUGUUAAAUCAUGCCAAAGUACUAUGUUAAGUUUGGUCAUACAGACAAAUGUUAUAAUAAAUGAAAAUGUUAUAGCAUCAUGCAAUCUUUUACACCGCAAGCAUCAGUGCUUGGAUGCAACUGUCCAAGUAAAAGAAAAGGUUUACUGCCCGUGCAGCAAAGUUUAAAAUAAAAAUAUUGUCUUACAUCACGACCCGUGGGUCGUGUAAUCAAAAGAUAGAGAAAAUAAAAAAAAAAACUCAAGAAGCACUGGGAGCAGGAGGGUCUUUAUCAGCAUUCUGAUUGGACGCGUCCUCAACAACCCCUUCUUCUUCAGCACCAGCCAAGCUUGGGGAAGCAGGGAUCCUCGCUCUUGCCUCCUCUUCAGCCAGUUGAGCAGUGCAGCGAGCCAGCUCAGCAGUCCAGACAUCCUCUGAAAGAUAGCUGAAGUCGGCACCCUGAUUGUGUUUCCAGAAGUUGUAAAAACACCGGAGCGUCGUCUUCUUAUACCUGUCCAGAUUUUUGGAGUUGUCGAGCUUUAGUUGCUCCACCUGGCCCUCAAGAGUGACGAUGGCCUCGUCCUUGGACUUAAGCACCUCUUCCAACCUCUUGACUUCGCGAAGAUGGGUUCGGCUGGCAUCUUGAUAAUCCUGCCUCUGCUUUAUUAUAGCUGCCUUUGUAGCUUCGGCCUCUGAUAGCUUUGUCACCGCAGCAUCCCUCUGCUGAGCCAUCACCUCCAACUCCUUUGCGUGCCUGGCCUCUGCAACCGAAAGUUCCUCGGCUGCCUUCACCUGGUGCCUCUCGAUAGCCUUUGCCUUAGCCUGUUCAAUAGUGGCUUGGGUGCGGGUGCGAGCAGUGGUGGUAGACAGCAAAGCCUGAGGACAAAGGAUAAAAGUUAGAACCUGUGGCAAAGACUAAAAGACUGAAGCCAAAAAGAUAAAGAAGUACUUACGCUGGUUAUUUCGUUCAGGGUCCUGUUCAGAAUCAGGUCGAUCGUCAUACUCUCUGCCUCAACCAUUGCAUCCUUGACGCGGUCAUUUUUCCCAAUGUUCACAAUACGGUCUUUGGCUGCUCGUACGGCACGGCUCGAGAGUUCGGCCCCAAGAUUUUCUUCCCUCUUGUCUUGUUCCCUUCUGGGCGCAGCCGGAGGAGGGUUCAUUGGAGCAGGGGGAGUCUCCUUCUCAGCAGGGGCCGGAGGAUGAGCAGAAGUUUGUCCAGUAGGCACGCCCCUAGGAGGGUCUUCUGUUCGACUCUUUUUUGCAGGUCCCUGACUCGUCUCGCCAGUAUGUCUCCGUGACGAUUUUCUCCGAAGCUGAGGAACUUCCUUUUCCUCCUCAGCCUGGUAUAAGUCGAAGACAUUGAGAGUGGCCAUAUCUGCACAUAAAUAAAAACAUGCAAAGGGUAAAGAUAAAAGCAGAUGAAGACUCUUUAUCAAAACGAAAAAGAAGGUCACAAAGUUAGUACCCGAGCUACAACUACUGGUCGCUAUACUAUUGACCCUAUUAGUCACACACUCACUAUCUGGCAUGAAGAAGUCUGGCCCUAGAUUUGAAGUAUAUGUAAAGUUGCCCUCCCCGUCAAACAAAUGACAGGGAAUUGGCAAACUAUUUAAAAGCAAAAUAAUUUUACCGUUCUCAUCAGAGGAUUCCCCCAGAUCCACAACUGGCUCUUUGGCCUUUUGUUUCCCCUUUCCUUGGGGAGCAGAAGGCCUUUCUGUGGAAGGAUUGCCCGUGGGCUCCCUGAUUGUAACCCCCGUCGGCCUCCUUCGAGGAGGAGACACGGGAGGUUGCUGCUCGGGAACCCCCUCGGCAGUGGCAUCGUCUACCACGGACUCUCUUGUUUCAUGGCAAGGAGCCAGGAGGCCAGACAGCCUCAAGCUUUCAUCGGUAACCAGGGACUUGACGCUUUUUGCUGCGUCUGUCAUCCUGGCCAAUGUGUUGGACCUCAACACCAUGUCUGGUUUUGGGGUUGGGCGUAACCAUGGGCCUGAAAGACAAAGUAUAGUUUGAGAAAAAUGAAAGGAGACUCUUUGAUUAAAAGUAUUGACCAGUCAAAGACGGCACUUACCUCCUCGAGCGAAGGCCAAGUUGUUGCUGGUUAUGUCCGGUGUAAGGAAAUACUCCUUACUGUACUGCCUCACGUUCGAUAUGUGCAUAGUGUCACUCAAGAAUGUCCGGUUUGUCUCCUGGUGACAGAAGUAGAAGAAACCCGUUCCAUAUUGUUGCGGGUUGGAUUUAAGGUCGAAAAGAUAAUUGACCUCGUGGGGAGAAGGUUUUGGCCAUUUUUUAAGUUUGUACAAGAUAUAGAGUGCGGCCAGCAUUCUAUAUCCGUUUGGAGUAAUUUGGAAGGGGGCGACGUCGAAAUAAUUCGCCACCCCCUGAUAAAAAGGAUGUAGAGGGAGGAAAUCCCCCGCCUCUAUGUGAUACCAAGACCAGGUGCUGUAUAUACCUCCGGGGAGGUUAGUCCUUUGGUUUGCGGCAGGAAUUUUGAUAGUAACCCCUGUGAGGGGAUACUUCCUGAAAUAGUUAGCAACCAUCCGAAGGGUCACUACGCUGGUCGGGGAAGUAUACCACUCGACAUCAGGCAGAUUCUGAUGACGAGGGCGGGCUCUAAUUUGGAUGUUAGGGUCAGGAACAGGAUCGUCUCGACCGCUGGUCGAGGGAGCCCUAGCCUGCAAAUCAGGCUGGGCAGGAAGGUUUGGGCUAUUAUCAGAUUCAGGCCUACAGACUUGGAACGGGCCAUUUGAGGAGGAGAAGGACGAGGUCUGAAGGAGGAUCGUGAGAAGGGAAUCUUGUAGACUCGGUCGGCUGGUUGUUCUUCGCCUUCGAGUAGCUGGGCGAGAAGAUCGUCGUCGAUGGGCCGUUCACCUCCCCACAAAUCUGGCAUCAGUGUCUGCAAACAGAAAAAUGGGGAGGUGAGGAUGAAGAAUUUUUAAAGGCUUUUUAGAAUAGCGCUGGUCGAGUAUAAAAGCCAAGCUUUUAUACAUCAGCAUUCUAACAAAAAGCUAAAUUUUCCGCACGAACAGUUUGAAAGUAAAAAGUUUUUCAAGAAAGUUUUUUCAACUCCCCUUAGGGCGGAAAAAAACCUAUUUUCCAACUAGCCUAAAGAUCGAAUUUUUACUUCGACUUUACGUCCUAAAAGUAUGAUCCCGACUAUUACACUAACAAGUAACCCUUUUUUGCCUACAAAAUAUUCUACUCACAAGUGUCUCAAACCAGAAACAGAUGAACUCAAACAGUUAUCAUACAGAAGCAUGCAUCAUGAAAAUUUGAAGCAUAAGAAUUCAAAAACUCACCAAGAAAAUGAUCGUGGAGAUGGAAAAAGGGUCUUCGGAGUUCAGGGAACUCUCGGACUGAAUCUUGAAAAUGCAGAAGAACGGUCUCCGGAGAAGGUUAAAACUCUGGUUUUUAGGGUUUCUUGUGAGGACAAUGGCGUGCGUAAAGAGAAAAGGAAGAUUUUGAAGGUAUUAUAUAAGUUUGUCUGUGGCAUUGAAAAGGUGUAAUCAUCAGUUUCUCUUUUUCGAAGUAUGGGGAAGCGGAAUGGCCGUCGAUUUAUUACUGGGGAACCGAAAAGUCAUGAUUAGACAGAAGUAGGUUACUUUUUCCAAGAACACACGAAGGGUUCUGACACGUAUGGUGGGGUUACCGAAGUGUCGUUCGCUCAAAAGUUUAUUUAUUGCUCGUGAUAAAUAAACUUGGGGGGCAAAUUUUAUCCAAAAAAUUAGCAUUGAUGACGUGGCAAGUGAUCCCUAGACACGUGGCUGACACCUGGAAGAGCUCUGCUAGGGUAUCAACCAGAGGAUGCACUAGAAGCAGUAAGCCGCCCGGUCUUACCUGCGACCAGCCUGGUCGAUGGUUCAGCAUACAAAGUAACAUUACUGUGAAGAUCUUCGUAUAUCCCGAAUUUAACUCACUCAAUCUCCGGAAUGUCCGAUGAUUCAGGGGAGAGUAUCUGUAACAAUCUUUUGUAAUCUCCCUUGAGCCUACAAAUAGCAAAAGAUAGCUCAAGGAAGGGACUUUUGGCUUGGAAUAUUGUAUUGUUCUUCAGAGGCUAGUGAAACUCAUUGAGCCCUUGUUCUUUGAUCACUCAUUUGAUUCCUAUAUCAAUAACAGUCUAAGUGGACGUAGGUUAUUACCAGAUCCUGGGGCCGAACCACUAUAAAAAUAUCGUGUUCUUAUUACUUUUUCAUCAUUACGUUAUUAUCAACACAUUUAUUUAUAUCAAGCAUAUUCUGACUCCGUGUCAGUUGACCAAAUUCUGGGUCAACAAUGUGUACUAUUGUAAUUAAGUUCUUUUUUGUGAUUCAUUUUUUUUACAUUCAUUGAUUUUGGUAUAUAUAUAUCUAUAUAUAAAUAUGUUUUUGUUGGAUAUUUCUUUCAGGUAUUAUUAUGGUUAAUUAUAUUUAUGGUAUUCAUCUUUUUUGGCCAAUGAUGUUAAAAUAAUGAGGAUGCUUAUUAUGUUGGUGAUUAUAGGAUUUAUUGUGCUCUUAUAUUUUUUAAAGGCAUACAAAUUGUCAUAAAUGCCUAUAAUAAGUCUUUUUUUCUUUCCGAAAUCCUUAUGAUGAUUAAAUUAGGGGUAUUCUAUUAUUAAAUUGGGAAUUUUGUUAUACGGUAAUUCACAACAUCAUUGGUCUCCCAACCGUCUCAAAUCUUGUCGGCAUUCUUACAAGGGAAUAUCAUAGGACUGACUUUUAAGGUGGAUGCCUAGAUUUAUUAGGAAGAAUAUUGAGAAAAGAAACAUGAUUGAGUUUGCAGUGAUUUAGAGAAGAGAAUUAUGUUGUCUUGUUGAGAUUUGUUGUAUUAUAUAUUUGUAAGUUUAUAGAUUUAUAAUAUUAUAAUGAAUUUUUAUUAAUAAUUAUUUAAUCUCAUGGGGAUUUGAUGUAUUAUUUACAUUUCAAUUGUAUGAAUAAAUGUUGUAUGUAUAUGAA